AUUGAACGCUGGCGGCAUGCCUAACACAUGCAAGUCGAACGGAGGUAGGGGCAACUCUACUUCAGUGGCGGACGGGUGAGGAAUGCGUCGGAAUCUACCCUAUGGUGGGGGAUAACACAGGGAAACUUGUGCUAAUACCGCAUAAUGUCGAGAGACCAAAGCAGGGGGACCGCAAGGCCUUGCGCGAUAGGAUGAGCCGACGCCCGAUUAGCUAGUUGGUACGGGUAAAGGCCUACCAAGGCGACGAUCGGUAGCUGGUCUGAGAGGAUGAUCAGCCACACUGGGACUGAGACACGGCCCAGACUCCUACGGGAGGCAGCAGUGGGGAAUAUUGGACAAUGGGCGCAAGCCUGAUCCAGCAAUGCCGCGUGUGUGAAGAAGGCCUGCGGGUUGUAAAGCACUUUUGUUCGGAGAAAUCAUGCUGGUUAAUACCUGGUAUGGAUGACGGUACCGAAAGAAUAAGCACCGGC
RNAcentral lists this ribosomal RNA (470 nucleotides) under uncultured bacterium. Its description in RNAcentral is "bacterial SSU rRNA". It matches the Rfam family "Bacterial small subunit ribosomal RNA", at positions 30 to 497 of the family's 1533-position model. The record is from RNAcentral.